GUGACGGGCGCCCGCCGGAGGUACGAAACUCUAAUGUAUUAUAGUGGCAUCUCUGAGUAAAAAGCAAAUAAGUUAAAACUUUCAACAACGGAUCUCUUGGUUCAGGCAUCGAUGAAGAACGCAGCGAACUGCGAUAAGUAAUGUGAAUUGCAGAAUUCAGUGAAUCAUCGAAUCUUUGAACGCACAUUGCGCCCGCUAGUACUCUAGCGGGCAUGCCUGUUCCAGCGUCAUUUCAACCCUCAAGCUCUGCUUGGUGUUGGGGCCCUACGUCUGACGUAGGCCCUGAAAGGAAGUGGCGGGCUCGCUACAACUCCGAGCGUAGUAAUUCAUUAUCUCGCKAGGGACGYUGCGGCGUGCUCCCGCCGUUAAAGACCCCAUCUUUAACCAAGGUUGACCUCGGAUCAGGUAGGAAUACCCGCUGAACUUAAGCAUAUCAAUAAGCGGAGGAAAAGAAACCAACAGGGAUUGCCCUAGUAACGGCGAGUGAAGCGGCAACAGCUCAAAUUUGAAAUCUGGCUUCGGCCCGAGUUGUAAUUUGUAGAGGAUGCUUUUGGUGAGGUGCCUUCUGAGUUCCCUGGAACGGGACGCCAGAGAGGGUGAGAGCCCCGUAUAGUCGGCCACCGAUCCUCUGUAAAGCUCCUUCGACGAGUCGAGUAGUUUGGGAAUGCUGCUCAAAAUGGGAGGUAUAUCUCUUCUAAAGCUAAAUACUGGCCAGAGACCGAUAGCGCACAAGUAGAGUGAUCGAAAGAUGAAAAGCACUUUGAAAAGAGGGUUAAAUAGCACGUGAAAUUGUUGAAAGGGAAGCGCUUGUGACCAGACUUGUGCCGGGCUGAUCAUCCAGUGUUCUCACUGGUGCACUCGACCCGGCUCAGGCCAGCGUCGGUUCUCGCAGGGGGAUAAAAGCUUCGGGAACGUGGCACCUCCCGGUGAGUUAUAGCCCGUUGCUUAAUACCCUUGUGGGGACCGAGGU
This 970-nucleotide ribosomal RNA is filed under the name Coniochaeta sp. ANM 1174. RNAcentral describes it as "eukaryotic LSU rRNA". The stretch from base 392 to 970 matches the Rfam family "Eukaryotic large subunit ribosomal RNA", at positions 1 to 592 of the family's 3401-position model. Lineage: Eukaryota; Fungi; Ascomycota; Sordariomycetes; Coniochaetales; Coniochaetaceae. The record is from RNAcentral.